GGUGAGAUGGCCGAGUUGGUUAUGGCGCCAGGUUAAGGUCUCUCCUUAGCAACGCAAGGUUAAUACCCUGCUUCCUGGUCACGAAAGUGGCGUGGGUUCGAGUCCCACUCUCAUCA
RNAcentral lists this transfer RNA (116 nucleotides) under Cucurbitaria berberidis CBS 394.84. It matches the Rfam family "tRNA". Rfam says of the family: Transfer RNA (tRNA) molecules are approximately 80 nucleotides in length. Their secondary structure includes four short double-helical elements and three loops (D, anti-codon, and T loops). The record is from Rfam by way of RNAcentral. Lineage: Eukaryota; Fungi; Ascomycota; Dothideomycetes; Pleosporales; Cucurbitariaceae.